UACGGAGGGUGCGAGCGUUAAUCGGAAUUACUGGGCGUAAAGGGUACGUAGGCGGUUUAUCAAGUCAGAUGUGAAAGCCCCGGGCUUAACCUGGGAACUGCAUUUGAAACUGGUAGACUAGAGUGAGUGAGAGGUUAGUGGAAUUCCUGGUGUAGCGGUGAAAUGCGUAGAUAUCAGGAGGAACAUCAGUGGCGAAGGCGACUGACUGGCACUACACUGACGCUGAGGUACGAAAGCGUGGGGAGCGAACGGG
This 253-nucleotide ribosomal RNA is filed under the name uncultured bacterium. RNAcentral's name for it is "partial 16S ribosomal RNA". It matches the Rfam family "Bacterial small subunit ribosomal RNA", at positions 524 to 776 of the family's 1533-position model. The record is from RNAcentral.